RNAcentral lists this ribosomal RNA (429 nucleotides) under Actinomycetes bacterium. Its description in RNAcentral is "Actinobacteria bacterium partial 16S ribosomal RNA". It matches the Rfam family "Bacterial small subunit ribosomal RNA", at positions 355 to 776 of the family's 1533-position model. Lineage: Bacteria; Bacillati; Actinomycetota; Actinomycetes. The record is from RNAcentral.
UAGGGAAUCUUCCGCAAUGGGCGAAAGCCUGACGGAGCAACGCCGCGUGAGUGAUGAAGGUCUUCGGAUCGUAAAACUCUGUUCUUAGGGAAGAACAAACGUGUAAGUAACUAUGCACGUCUUGACGGUACCUAAUCAGAAAGCCACGGCUAACUACGUGCCAGCAGCCGCGGUAAUACGUAGGUGGCAAGCGUUAUCCGGAAGUAUUGGGCGUAAAGCGCGCGUAGGCGGUUUUUUAAGUCUGAUGUGAAAGCCCACGGCUCAACCGUGGAGGGUCAUUGGAAACUGGAAAACUUGAGUGCAGGAGAGGAAAGUGGAAUUCCAUGUGUAGCGGUGAAAUGCGAAGAGAUAUGGAGGAACACCCGUGGCGAAGGCGACUUUCUGGUCUGUAACUGACGCUGAUGUGCGAAAGCGUGGGGAUCAAACAGG